GAAACUGAUCUCCCCGUGAAGAAGCGGGGAUAAGUAUAUUANACGAGAAGACCCCAUGGAGCUUUAAACCCGACAGCACCCACUUAUUUAACACCUUCUUAUCCGCCUGGCCCCUGUCUGCUCGGUUUUGGGUUGGGGUGACCGCGGAGCAUAAAAUAGCCUCCACGAAAGAAGGGAUGAUUCCCUCAUUUUAGAACUACACUUCCAAAGACUAACAAAUUAAUUUUAAGUGAUCCGAUACCCGUAUUCGAUCAACGAACCAAGUUACCCUGGGGAUAACAGCGCAAUCUACCUCAAGAGCCCCUAUCGACAGGUGGGUUUACGACCUCGAUGUUGGAUCAGGGUAUCCCAGUGGUGCAGCAGCUACCAAAGGUUCGUUUGUUCAACGAUUAAAACCCU
This 399-nucleotide ribosomal RNA is filed under the name Boophis reticulatus. RNAcentral's name for it is "partial 16S ribosomal RNA". It matches the Rfam family "Bacterial large subunit ribosomal RNA", at positions 2038 to 2597 of the family's 2925-position model. Lineage: Eukaryota; Metazoa; Chordata; Amphibia; Anura; Mantellidae. The record is from RNAcentral.